UCCGGCGUGGUGUAACGGUUAACAUUUGGCUCUCUCAUUAGGGUGUUCAGCCAAGCUCGGGGUUCGAUUCCCCGCACCGGAA
This is a non-coding RNA of Pneumocystis sp. 'macacae', 82 nucleotides long. The record is from the annotation of a GenBank genome assembly. NCBI's taxonomy places the organism in Eukaryota, Fungi, Ascomycota, Pneumocystomycetes, Pneumocystales, Pneumocystaceae.